Molecule: long non-coding RNA, 590 nt
Filed under: Pan troglodytes (chimpanzee)
Lineage: Eukaryota; Metazoa; Chordata; Mammalia; Primates; Hominidae
Description: lincRNA
Source: RNAcentral
AUUGCAAAAUUGUGUGGAGUUGCCCCUUGGGUAAAAAUCAGAAUUUACAUUUUGGUUUUAAAUUUUAUAAGUAGCCUUGGCUGUGUACAUUUGAGUAAAGAGAGCACUAUAAAAUCAAAAACCAGUGAAAUGGUUUCCAGAACACAGAACUAUUAAGCUUAAGAAAAGGACAGAAGGAACUGAAGAGAGAGGAACUGUUUUGGAGCAUCACACUUCCACCUCAGAAGAAAUAAGGAAGGAAGGAGGAGGGUGUUCCCACGGCUCUUCAACCAGGCCGGCUCUUCAGCCUACAUCCCCAUCUCAUCAAGUAAAAGGGAUUUUUCAACUGGACCAACCAGAUGGUUUAACAGUGCACUCCCACACCAUUCAACUACGCAAGGGAGAUACACUUAACAUAUGCAGUCGUAUAACACCUACUAACAUUUUCAAACAUUAAACCUUUAAAAAAGAGUUCUAAAGAAAUAGAAGCUUGAAGUAUCAUCUCUCAAGUAUAUAGACACUACUUCAUGGUGUGGUAAUAUAUGCAUAUAGAAGCUAGUAAACACCUCCAGGAGAUGCAAAAGGAAUUAGAACUGCCACAAGGUGCAAGC